GACUUCGGUCGUGAGUAAAGCGGCGAACGGGUGCGUAACACGUGGAUAACCUGCCUAGAUGUGGGGAACAACUUGGGGAAACUCGAGCUAAUGCCGCAUAAUUUAGCACUGUUUAAUCAGUGUUAGGAAAGAUGGCCUCUUCUUGAAAGCCGUCGCAUUUAGAGGGGUCCGCGGCUGAUUAGCUUGUUGGUGAGGUAACGGCUCACCAAGGCGACGAUCAGUAGCCGUCCUGAGAGGGUGAUCGGCCACACUGGAACUGAGACACGGUCCAGACUCCUACGGGAGGCAGCAGUGAGGAAUCUUGGACAAUGGGCGAAAGCCUGAUCCAGCAACGCCGCGUGGAGGAUGAAUGCCUUAGGGUUGUAAACUCCUGUCAGGUGGGACGAAGAAACAUGGGUUAAUACCCUGUGUUUUUGACGGUACUACCAGAGGAAGCCCCGGCUAACUCCGUGCCAGCAGCCGCGGUAAUACGGAGGGGGCAAGCGUUAUUCGGAAUCAUUGGGCGUAAAGGGCGCGUAGGCGGCUUGACAAGUCAGGGGUGAAAUCCCUCGGCUCAACCGAGGAACUGCCUCUGAACUGUUUCGCUUGAG
RNAcentral lists this ribosomal RNA (590 nucleotides) under uncultured Bacillota bacterium. Its description in RNAcentral is "bacterial SSU rRNA". It matches the Rfam family "Bacterial small subunit ribosomal RNA", at positions 76 to 646 of the family's 1533-position model. Lineage: Bacteria; Bacillati; Bacillota. The record is from RNAcentral.